This 381-nucleotide long non-coding RNA is filed under the name Elaeis guineensis (African oil palm). RNAcentral describes it as "long non-coding RNA (EGUI_LNC052284)". Lineage: Eukaryota; Viridiplantae; Streptophyta; Magnoliopsida; Arecales; Arecaceae. The record is from RNAcentral.
AUCAUGUACAAUACAUGAUCAGUGACAGAGGCACCAUCCCGCAUUUUGGAGUUGAAGAUGACACAACUAAUCUUGUGCCUCUCCACGUCAUCAGGUGUGCCAAAGGCAUCCUCCAACACUUGAAGCAUGUCCUUUGGCUGAGCCUCUCGAAUCUGCGACUGAACUCGUCGCUCAUAGCAACCAGCAUGAUACAGUGCACCGUGGUCCGGUCACUGAGCCACUUCUGGUAAGUGUCUCUGACUGUUCCACGUGCAUUGACAGCUGGCUCCUCAGGUGCAGGAUCUAUUAUCACAUAUAGGAUCCGUUCAUGCUCCAGGACUAUCUUCAACUUUCGGUACCAGCUACCAAAGUUGGAUCCUACCAACUUAUCAUUGUCCAACA